GCCUGGUAGCGGGGGAUAACUAUUGGAAACGAUAGCUAAUACCGCAUAAUAUUAAUUAUUGCAUGAUAAUUGAUUGAAAGAUGCAACUGCAUCACUACCAGAUGGACCUGCGUUGUAUUAGCUAGUAGGUGAGGUAACGGCUCACCUAGGCGACGAUACAUAGCCGACCUGAGAGGGUGAUCGGCCACACUGGGACUGAGACACGGCCCAG
This 211-nucleotide ribosomal RNA is filed under the name uncultured bacterium. RNAcentral's name for it is "partial 16S ribosomal RNA". It matches the Rfam family "Bacterial small subunit ribosomal RNA", at positions 128 to 334 of the family's 1533-position model. The record is from RNAcentral.